RNAcentral lists this non-coding RNA (166 nucleotides) under human gut metagenome. RNAcentral describes it as "Lysine riboswitch". It matches the Rfam family "Lysine riboswitch aptamer". From Rfam's summary of the family: Riboswitches are metabolite binding domains within certain messenger RNAs that serve as precision sensors for their corresponding targets. Allosteric rearrangement of mRNA structure is mediated by ligand binding, and this results in modulation of gene expression. The record is from RNAcentral.
AGGAUAGAGGUGCGUUACUCAUCAGUAACCUGCUGCAGGCCGCCUGCCGUUACACAGCAGUUGAAAGGGUUUAACGCCGAAGGUACUUGGCAAUGGCAUGCCCUGUGGCCUGGGUGUACGGUUAAGAGCCGUGCAACUGUCAUCAAUGCUUGAUGGGGAGCUAUCU